CGAACGCUGGCGGCGUGCUUAACACAUGCAAGUCGAACGCGAAAAGGACUUCGGUCCUGAGUAAAGUGGCGCACGGGUGAGUAACGCGUAGAUAACCUGUCUUCAUGUCUGGAAUAAUACGCCGAAAGGGGUACUAAUACCGGAUAUUCUUGCUUUUCAUAAGUUAUGCAAGCAAAGGUGGCCUCUGCAUAUGCUACUGCAUGAAGAGGGGUCUGCGUACCAUUAGCUAGUAGGUGGGGUAAUGGCCUACCUAGGCGACGAUGGUUAGCGGGUCUGAGAGGAUGAUCCGCCACACUGGCACUGGAACACGGGCCAGACUCCUACGGGAGGCAGCAGUGAGGAAUAUUGCGCAAUGGGGGAAACCCUGACGCAGCGACGCCGCGUGAGUGAAGGAAGGCCUUCGGGUCGUAAAGCUCUGUCAAGAGGAAAGAAGUGUACAAUGGCUAAUACCUGUUGUAUUUGACGGUACCUCUAAAGGAAGCACCGGCUAACUCCGUGCCAGCAGCCGC
This 509-nucleotide ribosomal RNA is filed under the name uncultured bacterium. RNAcentral's name for it is "bacterial SSU rRNA". It matches the Rfam family "Bacterial small subunit ribosomal RNA", at positions 30 to 518 of the family's 1533-position model. The record is from RNAcentral.